AUAUGGCCAGCCGCCGCAAUCCCCAAUUUCUCCCAAACGCCGCCUCAGGUUGUCAGGUAAGGGAUACCUUUGCGCGGAUCGGAGAUGGCGCGUGGAUAUCCGGAGGUCGGAAGGAAGCUGCUUACACUGUGGCCAGGUUUGUGGCCGCCGUGAUUGAUCGACGCCAGACGGGCGGGCGGAGGCCACCUUCACCCUGAUAGUCUUCUUCUACCGUCCUCCUCCAUCAUCGCCUUGUUCCUGGUCAAUGCUCUACGCACGCUCCAGAUUCUCCACACUUGCUAUGUACCGGACACUACACACCUCCAAAAAGAUAAACCCAGAAUUUCUGAUAAAAUAAAAAGGCAGCCCAUUUGGGCCUGGAGCUCCAUCAGAACAGCAGCUGAACACAACUUCUCUAACCCCUUCCCCAAAGAAAGACAGGGUGAACGAUCAAGGUCACACCAUCAUGUAUUGCCACCAACGAAGGCAAGAAAACACCACCAUGCAUUGUUUGUUGGGCGACCAGCAGUACGAAAGGUUGGGGCGAGUUUGGAGUUGUUGGAGCAAAGACGGGAGGAGGCAUAUAUUGAUGCAUCCAAAAUAUACAUCAUAUUUCCUAGUGAUUUCAUUGUUGUUUUUUUAGUAAUUAUUGCUCGGCUAACCAUUGAUUAACUUUGAUUUUCACAAGAUAUAUUCUUUUUUGUUAAACCCGCAGGACAAGGGAAAAAUUUCCUAAUUAGUGAAGAAGAAUGUGAAGAUCUCACGAAAAAGAAGCCAACUGUACCAGCCGUGCCUCAAAUAUAGAUUUCAGAAGGUUUGGAGGAGGGGUGUAGUAUGGUCAGCAGUGACCGUAUCACCUAACCGUACCCCCUCCCCCACCGGGUACAUCUUGUCAAACCCAAUAACUUUCAUGAAGGCAGCAGGGUCAAAAGACUUCCAGAGACGGUGCAAAACUUUAUCCCAGCGGUUAUUUAAAGACAACAUCGAUUCACAUCAAAGAGAGCAACCACAUAACCAUCACAAGACACUGAAGGGCCACCGGGAGACCUAGCCACCACCAUUUCCACCAUAGUUCCUCCAUUUUCCAUCUAUUAGAUCCGUUGUAAUAUGUCACAUCUAUCAUUUAUCGAUGUAGACAUUUAUCACAUCAAGGAAGUUAUUAAUCUUUGUCUUUAA
Molecule: RNA transcript, 1155 nt
Organism: Phragmites australis (common reed)
Lineage: Eukaryota; Viridiplantae; Streptophyta; Magnoliopsida; Poales; Poaceae
Exons: 4
Source: RefSeq, a predicted model, not a curated record